AUACUGAGGACUUACCCUGGACCUGACACUCUGCUAGGUACACAAUCUCAUUCAAUACCACUUGCAAGUAAGUGACACUAUUAUUCCCAUUUUACAGAUCAGGAAACUGAGGCAGAACAAGGAAAGUCACUUGCCACUGGAGAAGCAGUGGUUAAGAGCAUGAGUUUGGAAACAGACACACCUAGGUUUGAGUCCUAUCGCCUUGAGCCUCAGCUGUGGCAUCUGUAAAAUGGGGAUGAUGAACUUAGGGUCAGCAUCAGAACAGCAGGAAGACCCAACGGAGGGCGAUAUCAACAGCAUCCGUGGGGAGGAUGUCAGUAGCCGUGGGGAUGCAGAAGCUGGUGCCCCUUCACGCGGAGGUGCCUGGGACCUAGCAGAACACUAAUCUGGUGCUUGGACUCCUCCCACAGAUGUGGAAUGGGUGCCUACCCGGAUGCGGGCCAUCAUGUCGACAGCACUCGGGUACUGCUACACCUUUGGCCAGUUCAUUCUGCCCGGCCUGGCCUACGCCAUCCCCCAGUGGCGUUGGCUGCAGUUAACUGUGUCCAUUCCCUUCUUCGUCUUCUUCCUAUCAUCCUGGUGGACACCAGAGUCCAUACGCUGGUUGGUCUUGUCUGGAAAGUCCUCGAAGGCCCUGAAGAUACUCCGGCGGGUGGCUGUCUUCAAUGGCAAGAAGGAAGAGGGAGAAAGGCUCAGCUUGGAGGUAGGGGCUGAGGACUAUAGUCUGGGAGCAGAACCCCUGUGCUCCACUCUUGGGCUGGCCCCUCCCCUUGCCUCUGUUCCCCUGGCUCACAGCCUAUACCACAUCUGAUUCCCUGAGCUCCUCUAGAGGCACCACGCCUGCAUCUCCCUCUCUUCGUCCUGCCCACUAGCUGGUCAUUAAUGGCACCCCUCCCCCUCCUCUGCCCGAAGGAGCUCAAACUCAACCUGCAGAAGGAGAUCUCCUUGGCCAAGGCCAAGUACACCGCAAGUGACCUGUUCCGGAUACCCAUGCUGCGCCGCAUGACCUUCUGUCUUUCCCUGGCCUGGUAACCCCCCUCUCCCUGCCCACACCCUGCCAAGGAAGGGGUGAUAGACAAGGCCUCCAGUAGGCUCACUUAAGGGCAAGGCCUAGGGCAUCUGAAAGAGAAGUCAGAGAAUCCCCUCUCCUGGGCCACCACAGCCCAGCCCCAACCCCAGAAAUCUGCUGCAUUCCUGCCCCACACCCAGGUCCAGCCAUCAGGGUCUGCUUCCCUCUGGGGUCACAAUGCCCCACCCCUCACCCACAGGACAAAUGUUCCAGGCCCCUUCCCCAGCUCACAUCCCUGCCGCUCAGUGUCCCCAUGCUCUCCCUCUCUGUCACUGCCCCCCUCUGGGUCAGCUCUGCCCUCUGGAACCCCACAGAGCAAGGCUAGACCAAUGGGUUUCAGACUCGAAGACAAAAAUUAUGUUUAUCUCAAGUUUUCUCCUCUGUCUGACUUUCUCCUGCUCCCUGAAAGCCCUUUCUGUGACCUGGUUUCUGCUUCCCAUCCUGGCCAUUUCUUUGUGAAUAGGAUUCAAUUUGUCCAGGAACCCUUCAAAGGGAUCCCACAGUUCAGAGAGAGGAAGGGAAACAUCUGACCCAGGCAUACAGCUCAAUGCUCACCUCGCCAGUCUGGAUGUUAAACUGCUGCCCAACCAGGAGAGAUCAUUUACUGCCUCCUUUGGUCUCCGAGAUUCCCUCCAGUCCUGAUCUUCUCUAGAGUCAGUUAUUGGCACCUUUGCCACCACACCCUGGACCAUGCCCACGUCAGACAUGACCAGUCAAUCACAGCACUUUCUCCCUGAGCCCAGACACGAUCUCAGAAACCUCAAAAGGACACUCAAGCAGCCCCUAUCAUCAGUUGCAGUUGGCACAAGAAGUGAAGCUAUUCAUCAUCCUGGUGACCCAAUGACCAGCAUGGGGAGUGGCCUCUGCCUGGCUGCAGGUGCUAACCAAUCCUUCUCUGCCUCUCAGGUUUGCUACCGGUUUUGCCUACUAUAGUUUGGCUAUGGGUGUGGAAGAAUUUGGAGUCAACCUCUACAUCCUCCAGAUCAUCUUUGGUGGGGUCGAUGUCCCAGCCAAGUUCAUCACCAUCCUCUCCUUAAGCUACCUGGGCCGGCAUACCACUCAGGCCGCUGCCCUGCUCCUGGCAGGAGGGGCCAUCUUGGCUCUCACCUUUGUGCCCUUGGGUGAGAGACUGGGGCUACCCCAGAACCCUCUGGAAGAGGCUGCCAGGUUGGGUGCCAGGGACUUCACUGCUGGCUCUGCCUCUAAGUCACUGUGUUACCUUGAGCAGGUCCCUGCACUCUCUGGGGCUCAGGGUCUCUCUUCUAGAAAAUAACGCAAUUGGGCUAGAUGACAUGAAAGCUCCUUUCCAGAUCUGACUUGGACUGGGCAAAAAGUAUGGUGGUAUCUGGAUAGUGUGAAAAUUUUUGAGGUAUUGAGAGUGUCCUGAGUGACAUCACUGUAGAGAUAAGCUGAGAUGGUAAAACGACAGAGCUCAUGCUCAAGAAAGACCCCACAACCUACUCCAUCAUGACCUUGGAAAAGCUACGUUUAUUUUAUAUGGGUGUUAGUUGGUUGAUAACACCUAUACCCUUCCAAAAGAACUUGAGGUAUUUUAAGACAAGAACAAGAACAUAUACAACAAAAUAUAAAUGGAAAUAGAGGAUCAGAGGCAGGGGAAAACACAAACAUAGCAGGACACAGGCAUGCAAAGCAUUACUCAGCUUUAAGUUUGGAUCUGAGCUUCUUGGAAGCCAAAGCAAAAAGGGAGACAAGAUCAGCUAAGGAGUGAGAACUCUUAGGUGCUCCUGAACUCCAAGGCCCACCACAUUUUCUUCCCUCUGCAGACUUGCAGACCGUGAGGACAGUAUUGGCUGUGUUUGGGAAGGGAUGCCUAUCCAGCUCCUUCAGCUGCCUCUUCCUCUACACAAGUGAAUUAUACCCCACAGUCAUCAGGUAGGUGCUGGACCUGGGGCCAGGCCCAGCCAGAGGACACAGGUCAGGUGGGACUGUGGCAUUGUCCUGUCCUCUACCCAGGGGAGCCAUCCUUUAUGAACCCCACACACAGGCUACCAAUCCCUACUCUGAACCCUCGCAGGCAAACAGGUAUGGGCGUAAGUAACCUGUGGACCCGCGUGGGAAGCAUGGUGUCCCCGCUGGUGAAAAUCACGGGUGAGGUACAGCCCUUCAUCCCCAAUAUCAUCUACGGGAUCACCGCCCUCCUCGGGGGCAGUGCUGCCCUCUUCCUGCCUGAGACCCUGAAUCAGCCCUUGCCAGAGACUAUCGAAGACCUGGAAAACUGGUCAGUCACUGCCUCUGGCCCCAUCAGUGCUCCUCCCUGGGGAAGCAGGUCUGGGCCCAGGGCUUUUCCUUAGCUCUCUGUCCCUAGGUCCCUGCGGGCAAAGAAGCCAAAGCAGGAGCCAGAGGUGGAAAAGGCCUCCCAGAGGAUCCCUCUACAGCCUCACGGACCAGGCCUGGGCUCCAGCUGAGGACAACGGAACCCCCUUUCCCUGCCCUCCAGAGACUGAUCCUAGCCAGGCACCUUAGGAGUAUAGGGAGGCCCCAUAUAGGUCCAUCCUCCUAGGAUGAAGCCUUCUGAGAGCUUGGUGAAGGUGUCUCCAUCACCACCACCAGAGCCUCCUGCCCAGCCCUGGCCAGUUCAAAGGUUCAGCCAUCCCUGCCCUUGUUCUCCCUGCAACCCAGGCCCUGCCAUUCUUCUGUCUAGCCCUUCCCCACUGGCCACCUUCCCCCACUGUCCCGGUCCUCUUCCCCUGAGGUCCCCUGAUAUCCCCUGGCUCAGUCCUAACAAGACUGAGUCUUAACAAGAUGAGAAGUCCUCCCCUUCUUGCCUCCCACACUUUUCUUUGAUGGGAGGUUUCAAUAAACAGCGAUAAGAACUCUAGCCAUGAUGUUCAGGAAUGGGGGUGGGAUGGGAGCUGGCCACCGUGUGGACACGUGAGCAUGCACAUCUGUCCAUCCACACUUCAUGUACGACAGGCCUGUGUACAGGCACCACAGGUACAUGCAAGCUGGACUGAUGUGAACAUGAGCAAGCACAUGUGAGUGCUCUGAGGUGUGUACACCACGCCUGUGCAUGAAAAUACAUGUGUGUGUCUACACGUCCCAGCAUGCAUAUGAGCAGAUGACUGACCAAGCCCAGAGUGGCUGCAGACAGAAGCCAGAGCCCCUCCAAUCCUGAUUUCUUUCCCCUGAUCACCCCAAAUCUCUGAUCUAUGUCUCAGCCCCAUGCCCAGCAGAUAGUUUUUCUCGUGUUAACUGAGAAAACUGCAAUGGUAGCUGACCGCUGUCAAUAUCAGAAAACUGCAAUGGUAGCUGACCGCUGUCAAUAUCUGCUGCCAUGUUCCCGGUUCCCUCCAGCCACAGCAGAACAGCCAAUCCCUCCACCAGCAGCCAUCCCUUUCCCUCUGGGGUCUCUGCCCAUUCCCUCUGUCUUGGCUGCCGCCCAUCACCAGUUAAACAAGCUUAGGCUUCUCCCAACUUAACAAAAAUCAACACAAACACAUGCCAGGAUGUUGUAUCUCCUUCCAAGGGCCACACUGGCUCUUUCUCCCCUUCGAAGCCAGACUUCAUAAAGGAGCUGUCUGCCUCCCCUGUAUCCACCUUCUAGCCUCAUACAUCUCCCCCACUGCACUCCGGCUCCUACCCCUUCCCUCCCUGGAACCGCUUUCACCAAGGACGCUCAUCCCCUCCCUGUGCUGGAUCCAUAAGUCACUCUUCAGCCCUCCUCUUACUGGCCUUUUGGCAAAUUUGGUCCUACUGGUCACUCUCUUCUUCCUUAGUUUCUGAGAGGCCACGUGUUUGCAGCUCCCCCCCACACACUGGCUACUCCUUCUCAGGCCCCUCUGCGGUAUCCUAUAAAUGCUGCAGUGUUCACUUUGCCUAUCCUGCCCCCACCCCUUUUCUAAGGAUCUGCAUCCCCGGAAUCUGCCAACUGAACAGUUCCAUAAUCUGCCAUCUCUGGUGGUGACCAACUAGACCACAGGGCACUCCAGAUCCAAAUCUCAUUUAUCACAUACUCUCUCCUGGGCUAGGAUUUGAGAUCUUAAGAGGUUCUUAUCCAUCUCUUUGUCCUUGCCCUGGGAAGGCAGGUUAGCAUGAGGCUAGGCUGGCCCAGAUGCAGAUAGAGCAGAGAAAGCCAGUUGCAGCAAGAGAAUAAGGCAGACACACAGAGAAAAAGAGAACAAGAGACCACAUGGGCCCAGAUAAAAAGAGCUGGUGAGGCGACUUCCACUGGUUCUUAAUGAAUUCCAGGUCUCGGUUCCUCAUCAGCCCUGGAUGCGCUUUUUACCCCGGGGUUCUAUUAAAUAUCCCUGAAUUCUCCAAAUAAAUUCCCCUUUCUGUUUAAGCUAACUUGAUGGGCUGCUCCUUGUAACCAAAGAGCUCCAAAAGCAGCUCCUCUCGCUCUACCAUCUCUUCAACACUGAUUUGCCCCAGGAAUCUUUCCUAGGAACUCUUCCUGUAACAUUCUUCCCCAGCACUGUCCAGUGGAAAUAGAAUGCAAGCCACAUAUGUAACUCCAAAUCAUCUAGUAGCCAUUUUUAAAAAGCUAAAAGAAAACAGGUGAAAUUAAUUUUGAAUAUAUUAUGUACAUAAUAUAAUAAUAUUUGACCCACUAUAUUCAAAUAUUGCAUUUCAGGAUUAAUCAAUAUUAACAUUAUUAAUUAGAUAUUUUAUAACCUUAAAUUCAGACUAAGUCUUCAAAUUCUGGUGUGUAUGUUCCACUAGCAGCAUAUUUCAGUUUGGACUAGCUCAAUUCAAGCACUCAGUAGUGGCUACUGGCUACCACCUUGGACAACUCAGACAUACUGCAGGGCUUUAAUUAUCAGCCACAGAGCUAAUUACUCUCAAAUCUGUAUUUAGAUAUUUGAGAGACAGCUUAAUAAAUGUGAAAGGGAUGGUAUUGUACCCCUGCGUCAACCUUCUGGUGACUUCCCACUGGGAUAAAAUCUAAAGUCUUUCACAAGGCCUGCCAUGACCAGGCCCAACCUGCCUCAACAGCUUUGGUUUUUAACACUCUACCUCGUACCCAGAAAUCCAGCCUCAACUGAUCUUUUUCAGAUCCUAGACUGCCCCUGCUCUUCACCAUGCCCAGCACUUGGCUUCUCCCCAUCCAACUCUACAGCACUUGGCUCAUGCCAACUCAUCCUUAAGGCCUAGCUUGGAUGGAUUCCUCUGAAAAGCCUUCUGUGACCACCCCUCAACUGCCCCAGAGCCUGGGUUGAGCACCCUGCUUAUCAGACAAUGAACUGUGAUCACAGUUGUGUCUUAGUGGGUGUUUCCCUGGAAGCAGACUCAAGACAAGAAUUUAAGUCCAAGUACCAUAGAUUAUUUGGCAGGAGAUCCUAGAAAGCACAAGUAGGGGAGUUAGGCGGUAAGUCAGGGAAGAGAAUCAAGAGGCAAGAGGAAAGAGAAUGAGAAGGGAAGAAGGUUCUCCCAUCCUAGCCCAUCUGUCAUCCAGCCAUGUGGGAAGCUGCUGGGACUGGCCAUUUAUGAUCAUGUUGGAUGCAGGACUCCCCCCUUGCCAACCUGUAGAUAACCUGGGGCUGGCGCCUAGGACCAGCCUUGUGCUACACUGCCCCCUGAGAUCUGGCCCUUAUGCUGAGAGUGCUAUGGGGUUGGAUGGGGAGAAGCCACCUAGUUUCUAUCUUGGAACCUGGUUUCUACCUAUAGAGUUUCUACUGUGGAGCCUAGGAUCAGCUGACAACAGAGCCAGCAAUGCUUCCCCUUAGUUUGACUGGGUCUCGACCUGGAGGGAGAAGGACUAGGCUCAGGGAGGAAUACUGACCCCACUAUGCCCCCAUCUUUCAGUUGUCCGGAAUUCCGAGUGGCUGCCAGGAUGUCCUGGCCAUGACUAUUCCUGUGCUUCAGGGUGCUUAUUGCAAGGACACACAUGAAGGGAAGGGAAGACACCCAAGAAAAUACUUUCCAGGUACAUGGUCAGGACUUAUGGUGAACUGAGAUGUUGUUCAGGACAAACUGGCCACUCACAAGACCCGUUCUUCUUGCAAUCCCCAAAUCCCCAUUCUGGAUUCCUCCUUCUCUCCAUUGCUGCUUAUUCCUCUACAACCCCAGCUCCGCUUGCUUUUUCUACUCCCUCCCUUCUGUCUCUAAGCAGGGACUCCACCUGGCUCGGUACAUGGAGAUCCAAUAUGGAGCACCACUUUUGGGCAGAGUCCUCAUGCUGCGUCAACUCAUAGGUCACUGGCCUCAUGUCCAGCCUUUAUAUGGAAGUCUUUGGAUGAAUUUCUAAUUUCUGCACCAUCCGUCAGCCAGGAUAGUCAGGCCACAAGGCACAAAGCUCACAGUGUAUCUCAGAAUUCCUUACUCAGAAUGUUGCGAGGGGCCUGGCAGACACUUGGAAUCUGCUGGACCCUCCCCAAGUCAAUCGUUUCAAACCCAUGCUUAGGACAUGUGAUCUAAGUAAGAGUGUUUUAUAUGAUCUGUAAAUUAUGUAUUUGAAAAAUCUCACAAAAGAAUAAAAACAAAAAUCACAGGUAGUCCCACACUUUAAAUCCCAAUUAUAAAAUGGAAUAAAGUUAUACAAAAUCAGG
RNAcentral lists this long non-coding RNA (7578 nucleotides) under Homo sapiens (human). RNAcentral describes it as "non-protein coding lnc-SLC22A8-1:1". The record is from RNAcentral. Lineage: Eukaryota; Metazoa; Chordata; Mammalia; Primates; Hominidae.